UGUUUGUUCAAGAAUGAUGCCUGGAUUCAUCCCCUCUGGACCAGAUUUAUUAGAGGUCAAAUGCAACCGCUGAGAAUGAUAAAAACUUUUAUAAAUUGAUGGCCUGUCCAUUAAUGCAGAAAGCCCAUCUUUGUCUCGACAAGGAAGGAGCUUCAACCAUGGAGUUAGGUUCUCAGUGCAAACAGCUUCACGGGGCAGCAUACCGUACCUUAUAUUGCCUGUAGCUGGCCGGAAGCUCCACUGAGGAGCUGAAUACAUUGUAGAGGACUCAAGGAAGUUAA
Molecule: unclassified non-coding RNA, 281 nt
Filed under: Hevea brasiliensis (rubber tree)
Lineage: Eukaryota; Viridiplantae; Streptophyta; Magnoliopsida; Malpighiales; Euphorbiaceae
Source: RNAcentral